GGGCGAUUAGCUCAGUUGGUUCAGAGCACUACCUCGACAAGGUAGGGGUCAACGGUUCGAGCCCGUUAUUGCCCA
RNAcentral lists this transfer RNA (75 nucleotides) under Flavobacterium sp. RNAcentral's name for it is "tRNA-Val". It matches the Rfam family "tRNA". Rfam says of the family: Transfer RNA (tRNA) molecules are approximately 80 nucleotides in length. Their secondary structure includes four short double-helical elements and three loops (D, anti-codon, and T loops). Lineage: Bacteria; Pseudomonadati; Bacteroidota; Flavobacteriia; Flavobacteriales; Flavobacteriaceae. The record is from RNAcentral.